This 78-nucleotide microRNA precursor is filed under the name Schistosoma curassoni. Its description in RNAcentral is "mir-3492 microRNA precursor family". It matches the Rfam family "mir-3492 microRNA precursor family". Lineage: Eukaryota; Metazoa; Platyhelminthes; Trematoda; Strigeidida; Schistosomatidae. The record is from Rfam by way of RNAcentral.
AGCUAUUCGAAUCCGUGCUGGGAUUUCGUCAGACACCAACCCACUAAGGGUGAUCAGACUUCCAAGAUAAGUGGAGUU